Molecule: long non-coding RNA, 3157 nt
Filed under: Homo sapiens (human)
Lineage: Eukaryota; Metazoa; Chordata; Mammalia; Primates; Hominidae
Description: HSALNT0368142
Source: RNAcentral
AGCUGCCUUGACUGAGUAAGUCAGAGAAGGCUUCCUGGAGGAGAGCGAAGGGUGUGGGGCUGGGUUGAGAUACAGGAAGAUCUGGGUUUGAAUUAUAGUUUGGCUGCUUCCUAGCUGUUUGAUCUUGGACAAAACUUUCAUUCAUUCUAUAUUUUUUGGAGUGUCUACUCCAUGCCAAUCAUGUGUGAAAUGUUGGGAUAACAAAGGCGAAUUCAAUCUGGCUCUCGUCCUCGGAGCUUAAGCAAAUCAUCUGGGGUAGCGUGACCCAUGCUACGAUGGAGGUGGAAUACGGGGCUGCAGGGCGGGGCCACAGGACAUAGUGGGCAGCUUAACCUCCUUGAGCCUCCCUAUCCCUAAUUCACGUGAUGGGGUUUGUAACCACUUCUCACAUCGUUGAGAGAAAAGGGUGAGCCUGACUCAGAGGUGUGGCAAAGGAAGGGCAGGGCAGGCUUUAAGGACAGGGACAGGGCUGUCAGAGGCUGAGGCUAGGGAGGGGCAGGAAGGGGUGUGAGGCAGGGCGGAAGAGAGCAGGGCCCUGGGCAGGUGCUGAGCCAGGUCCUGCAGGUCACCCAGUCGCUUGAGUCCACGAAUGCUGGAGGCAGGCACUGGAGAGCCAGGGUGGUUCAGCCGCAGCUCCUCUGAGCAGGGAGUCAAACAGGGCUGAAACAGACACCAGCUCUCCAGGACCAGCUGCUCCAGGAAUCAACCUCUACCCUGAACCAGGUCCCUGAGGACCACCACGUGGCUGCAACACAGCAGGAGUUCACAGUCCAGAGGAGAAGCCCGAUGCUGAACAGAGAAUCACAUCCGUGAGCAACACAAAAGGCAAGGCAAACCCUGGGCAGAUGCCCCCGGGACUGUGUGUUAUGGGCCUACAGGAAGCCUCUCCCAAUGAAAAAGCAAUUUUUCAGCCAGAACCUCCACCAGUGUCUUUCAAACUGUGAGUGGCAACCCAUUUGUGGGUCAUAAAAUCAAUUUAGUAGUUGUGACCUGAAUUACUUGUUAGUGAAAUAGAGAGGAAUUUACAACAUCACACUUAGGAAAUACUGUUUUGUGAAAUGUUAGUUUCAGUUAUCUAUCUAUCUAUCUGUCUGUCUGAGAGAUCAUGUUUAUUAGUUAAGAUAUUAAAUGUAUUUCUUACUGCAGGUCUCAAUCAAAAACCUCUGAAAGCCACUGGCCUAGAGUUAGAGGAAGAGUUAGCCAUGAGAAAUGGUGGUGACACAGGUUCCAAAAGAAGAAACAAUAGGUAUCAGGCUCAGAGAUGAAAGGGCUAGAAGGAGGACACACCAAGUUCAAGGUCUGGCCUUUCUCGAGGGCAGUGGGGAGCCAUGGGAGGUUAGCAAGAUCCCAUCUUCUUCAUCCCUGGGCCUCACCCCAUGGGCAGGAGGGAAAUGGCAGGAAGUUGUCUUUGUGUCUCCCCAGGAGCCUGGACCUGUGGCCUUCCCUGCCUCCACCUGGGCCUCAACCGUCACGACCACCUGGCCUUUGAGGUAGGGUUUGGAGAAGGAAGUCAGCCUAUUAUCAGGAGAAGGCUUGAAUUUCUAUAUUCAUAGCUUGUUUCUGUCACUUACUAGCCUUGUGAUCAUGGGCAACUUGUCUAAUCUCUGUCCCUCAGUUUCCUCCUUUGUAAAAUAGGUCUCAUAGAACUCAUCCCCAAAAGUCCUUGUGAAGAUUUAGUUUGUAAGCCAGAUGUCUGCAGACCUCCAGUAAAAGAAUAUGUUUUUGGUAUUAGUAUGUAUGUCCCAAAUAUUGCUUGGAAUAUGCUUAUACAAACAAAAAUCAUUUGUUUUUUAUCUGAAAUUCAAAUUUACCUGGAUGUCCUGUAUUUUAUCUGGAAACCCUACACAGAAAUCAAAUGGCUCACGCUGUGUCUCAGAGCUGCAACGAUCCAACGCCCUCCAUCCUUCAGAGGCUGUCUGAGUCCGGGGACACAACUCCCACCCUCCUCUCCUGCCAGCCGCGGCCCGUGGCUGCUCUCUUCACUUCGUCCCGCUUCGCCCCGACUGUGGAUCUACCCGCUCCCUUCUCCCUCAGUCCCCAAAGCACCAGACUCACAGGCCUGCUGUGUGACCCACUUUUACCGACCUUUCGGGGAGAGUAGAGGGCAUUUGUGACUCAGCUCAGAGCAGGAAACACAUCUCACGUCAACUGUCAGACAGCGCUGCUCCGAAUCCCAUCACAGUGCUCCAGCAGGGGGCGUCCUCACCGGCCGCGGCCACAGCCACGGCUCAACCCGGCCUAGCUCCCAGACACCCUCCUUCCACCGCCUGUUUUCCACCGUCCCCGCCUGCUCUUUCAAGCCAGCAGCAAACAACACCCUAAUCCGUGUCUUUAUUAUUCAAAGACCUUAAGCACUCUUUCCCACCUCGUUCCCAUCUUGAUUAUUUCAGGGAAUGAAUUAGGGAUUCACCUUUACAAUCAAAAAAGUUCUCUCAAAGCCAGGCUACUGGAGUUCUAAUUCUGCCUUCCCACUUUUACUAGCUGUGAAAUCUCAGGAAAGUUACUUAACCUCUCUCUGUCUCAUUUUCCUCAUCUUUAAAAAACAGGAUGAUAAUAUUUAGCUCCUAAGAUGGUUGUGAGGAUUUAAGUGAGCUGAUAUAUCCAAGAAUGUCUAGAACAGCGCGUGGCAGAAUGGGCAUUGCAUAUGGGUUUAAUCUUGUAACUGCCAUGUUUCACCAAUUCUAAGGUGUAUCUCGUUUCUCAUCAUAAGAGCUCUUCCGCUCGUGUGGCAGCUGGGAGUGGCCGUCAUUGCCUGCGCAUACCUAAACUUGGUCAGCAGCCAAGUGUUUUGUGAGACCUAAGAAAGGAAGAGCCCCAUAAGUAAAUGGAACUGUUGUGUUGUUUUAUUACCGAGAAAAGGGCAGAAUGAUUGCUAGUCACACGUGAAGCAAGAAAACCCCGGCAAUAAAGCUUGCAGAAUGAGUGGCUGAGGCUUGAAAAUAAAUGGUGGAAACAAUAGUGGACAAUCUUUUAAAGAAUGGCACAUUGCCAAUGCUCCUGAUGGCACAGAAGGUGACACCAUGCAGAAAAUCAAGGCUCUGAGUCAAAGAGGGUUUCAGAAAAAUUGGACUCUGAAUGUGAAGAAAUCUGGGGACUAUUUUAGCCAAUUUGUUUUGCCUAUAAUUUCCUUUUAUGCAUGCAAAAGAGCAAUUCUGAC